AUUGAACGCUGGCGGCAUGCUUUACACAUGCAAGUCGAACGGCAGCACGGGUGCUUGCACCUGGUGGCGAGUGGCGGACGGGUGAGUAAUACAUCGGAACGUGUCCUGAAGUGGGGGAUAACGCAUCGAAAGAUGUGCUAAUACCGCAUAAUCUCUAAGGAGAAAAGUAGGGGAUCGAAAGACCUUAUGCUUUUGGAGCGGCCGAUGUCUGAUUAGCUAGUUGGUAAGGUAAUGGCUUACCAAGGCGACGAUCAGUAGUUGGUCUGAGAGGACGGCCAGCCACACUGGGACUGAGACACGGCCCAGACUCCUACGGGAGGCAGCAGUGGGGAAUUUUGGACAAUGGGCGCAAGCCUGAUCCAGCAAUGCCGCGUGAGUGAAGAAGGCCUUCGGUUGGUUAAAGUACGUCUUUCUAGUUGUAAAAGAAAAAAUAACAAUAGACUAAUAAA
This 449-nucleotide ribosomal RNA is filed under the name uncultured bacterium. RNAcentral describes it as "bacterial SSU rRNA". It matches the Rfam family "Bacterial small subunit ribosomal RNA", at positions 30 to 487 of the family's 1533-position model. The record is from RNAcentral.